This is a long non-coding RNA of Oncorhynchus tshawytscha (Chinook salmon), 1252 nucleotides long. RefSeq lists it as uncharacterized. The record is from RefSeq and is a predicted model, not a curated record. The transcript is spliced from 2 exons. NCBI's taxonomy places the organism in Eukaryota, Metazoa, Chordata, Actinopteri, Salmoniformes, Salmonidae.
UCAAUCAGGGACAGCUGUCUAUCGUUGUCUCUGAUUGGGAAUCAUACUUAGGCAGCUUUCUCCUUUUGUCAUUGAGGGAAGUUGUCUGUGUUAGGGGCACUAUUUCCCUUGUAAGCGGUACGGUCGUGUUUGUUAUUUAUUGUUUUGUUGGGGACAUUUGACUAAAUAAAAGAAAAUGUACGCUCACCACGCUUAGCUUUGGUCCAAUGAUUCUUUCCAGGGAGAAGCCUGUGACCAGUGACCCAUGACUCAACAUAUAGUUGGAUACCCUUUAACCCUGUUGGCACCCCAAACAACAUCACCCAGGUCAACAAAAGCCAGGCUAACAUCCCUCAGGCCAAUGACAGUCAGGCCUCCGUCUCCCAGGCCAACGUCUCCCAGGCCAACGUCACCCAGGCCAACGUCACCCAGGCAAACGUCACCCAGGCAAAAUACAGGCAGACUGACGUGUCCCAGGCCAACGUCACCCAGGCAAACUACAGGUAGACCGACGUGUCCCAGGCCAACGACAACCAGACCAAAGUCUCCCAGGUGAACAACAGCCCAGACAACAUCACACUCAGAUACCCCCCCUGACUCCGGACAGCCCGGAUGACACUGUCACCCUGAACUCAGUUGACUCCCUAUCCCUCCCCACAAAGGGAGGAAGAAGGAUGAAGAAGACAUGAAUGUUUAGUGCCUUGGAGCAUUUUCACAAAUCCACAUCUGAUUCUGAUCUUUGUGUUUAGUACCUUUAUUGGCACUAAAAUAUGUAAAUUAAAAACGAAACAAAGUCUUGCUCUAACAAAUCUUGGUAGCUGCCUGAGGUGGGUGUAGGAACAGUGAAAAUAUAUUAAGAUGCCGUUUUUAGAUCAGAAGUAGUUGAGUACAUAAGGCUCCGUAACUGCAACAGAGUGAUACUUCUGAAGAUGUAAGAUAAGUUGGGCAGUAUGUGAAGUUGCACUCAAGAACAGUAUUUCCCUCCCUUGUCUGUCUCUGAUAGCUGUCUCCCCUUCUCUUGGCUCUUUGAACUCUGUGGCUCAUUCAAUGCCUCAGCUAUCCUCACAGUUGCAUUCCCAAGCAGGAAAUCUGUAGAUGAUUAGUGUUUGUAGUUAAGGUCAUCUUGUCUUUUUGUAGUUGAAAGGGAACUUAGUCAUUCUGCUUUUGAUAUUGCAGUGUGCACAAUGGAGUAUGGCCAGCGAAGUCCGUGAUCAGAGAAAGGUUGGGCCAGGCAAGGCACAGAAAGAGAAAAUAAAUGUGAUCGUAUAACCUA